Molecule: long non-coding RNA, 716 nt
Filed under: Daucus carota (carrot)
Lineage: Eukaryota; Viridiplantae; Streptophyta; Magnoliopsida; Apiales; Apiaceae
Description: long non-coding RNA (DCAR_LNC000034)
Source: RNAcentral
AUAAAAUCACUUUGUAAGUUCAGGAUUAACACGCUCUUAAAGCGAGCGAUCCCUUAACAAUGAACACUAACCGAAAGCGGAGACUUACUUUAAAUAAUUAUGUCAAACCAUGUAUGAUAAAACAUGUCAUAGUUUACUUAGAUACGGUACCUCAGGACCGAGAAUUUCUUUCAAGUGUUCAGAAAAGUUAGUGUACUAUCGUGUAUUUAUAAUCCUUCUGAGAUUCCCAUACGACAAUAUAUCAUUCAUCUAAGAGUAAUUCUUCUUUCAAUAUAUACACCAAAAAACACUUUAUCACAUAAUAUAACAUCAGGUGCAACUCAAUUCAAUGUUAACUAGAAACACAUUCUAGUUUCCAUCUGCUCUGGCCAGAGACUUUAUGAGUUGUCACCUAUAGAUAUACAAUGAUAACACGUAUCUGUCCCGAAUCCCUUUUCCAUUUGAGAGGGUAUAGUUCUCGAGAGUUUAUUAUACUGCUUCUGGCAGUUAAGAUCCUUCUAGGAUGAUUAUUGUCAAGUGGGUCGUAUAAAACUUAAAUUGAACAUUCACAUAUUGCGGGAUUAUUUCGCAAUCAAAUAAUCAUUUCCACCACAAAUACUAUUACUCUUCAUAACCAACACAAGGUUAUCAUACAAUUAUUUGAGCUUUACAUAUCUAUAAUUUCAUUUUAUUUUCGCACAAAUAAUCAUACAUAUCCCACUGACUUAACACCUUUG